AUUGAACGCUGGCGGCAUGCCUUACACAUGCAAGUCGAACGGUAACAGGGAGCUUGCUCCGCUGACGAGUGGCGAACGGGUGAGUAAUGUAUCGGAACGUACCUUUUAGUGGGGGAUAACGUAGCGAAAGUUACGCUAAUACCGCAUAUUCUCUGAGGAGGAAAGCAGGGGACCUUCGGGCCUUGCGCUAAUAGAGCGGCUGAUAUCAGAUUAGCUAGUUGGUGAGGUAAAGGCUCACCAAGGCGACGAUCUGUAGCGGGUCUGAGAGGAUGAUCCGCCACACUGGAACUGAGACACGGUCCAGCCUCCUACGGGAGGCAGCAGUGGGGAAUUUUGGACAAUGGGGGCAACCCUGAUUCAGCCAUGCCGCGUGAGUGAAGAAGGCCUUCGGGUUGUAAAGCUCUUUCGGCCGGGAAAAAAUCGCAUGGGUUAAUACCCUGUGUGGAUGAUGGUACCGGAAUAAGAAGCACCGGCUAACUACGUGCCAGCCGCCGCCGUAA
Molecule: ribosomal RNA, 500 nt
Filed under: uncultured bacterium
Lineage: Bacteria
Description: partial 16S ribosomal RNA
Rfam family: Bacterial small subunit ribosomal RNA
Source: RNAcentral